AGCUUUGACCCCAAUUCGAAAGGGAUUGUUCCCGUUAACCGAUUCUCAAUCAGUGUAAUGUGACGCAGGGCAGUGCAAUUACUGAUGGAUGCAGGUAUGCUUCCUUCCAAAAAGUUGAUGUGGAGGUACAAUAUCUCCAGCUUUGUUAAUGCUCCUAGCUCCUCUGGAAUCCUUCCUGUGAAGUAAUUAACUUGCAAUUCUAAAUCUGUCAGCUUUGUCAGAUUCGAAAGAAACGAUGGUAUAGCUCCAGUGAGGCUGUUCUCAGAGAGACAAAGGUAUGUCAAGUUUGUCAUUUGGCCUAGUACAGCAGGAAUGCUUCCAGUCAGAUUGUUAUAGUCCAAGUCUAUUGUCUCCAGGCUCCAGCAGCCUUGUAUUGAGGCUGGAAUAUUGCCCCCAAGCUUAUUACCACUCAUGUUUAUGAAUGUUAACUCAGAAAGCUCUCCAAUGGUAGCUGGGAUCUCUCCAUACAAGCUGUUGGCUUGCAAAGAGAGGGUGGUGAGAUGGGAUAGAUUGGAUAUGUAUGGUGAGAUAACUCCCUGUAAGCGCAUGUUUAUGAGCUCAAUGGCUAUGACCCGGUUCUUAAGUUGCUGGUGGCAUGUAAUCCCUGUCCAGUUGCAGAAGAACCUGGUUUCAUUCCAAUCUUGGAGAUGACCAUCUGGAUCACCUGUUAUGCCUUGUUUGAAUUUGAGCAGAGAUUGACAAUCAGUGGAGUUUUUGCAGAGGAAUGUGGAAGUUGAUAGUAGAGCAAGACAACUAAGAGAGAAAAACACUGCCACAGCAACGGGAUUGUUCUGAUUGUAUGCCAUUCUCUCUCUCUCUCUCUCUCAGUGUGUGUGUACAGCUUUUGGAAUUCGAUGUUAGAUUUCAGGCCAAAAGUUUUUUUUCUCACUUGUUAGGUAAGAUGGGAUGAACAAUCAAUUUUCUUAAAAGUUUAAACUUAACGUGUAUCAUACUUUUCAACACUCGACGGGAUCAAUGGUAGAAGUUUAAAUAGAUGGGCUCAGUUGCUCAAAUGGUUCAGACAACUUGGCCUAGUGAGGGGCAGGUGGUGAGCCCUCAUUUAUCACUGGGACCAUAGAGCAAGACUUUUUGGUAUUGCCAUCACCUGUCUUAACUUCAUUCAACCUCUUCAAUGCUGUUUGACAUUUUCUUCCGUGACAGAAUUAAUAGCUAUGCAGUUUCCCAAAAUUUGCUCCGAACCCAUUGUCAUUUUUUUUUCUUCAUAUUUUAUAUUUUGUAUUUAUUUAUUUUUAUAUUAUUAUCAUUUAUUAUUUAUUUUAUUUUUCUUUCUUUUUCUUUUAUUUAUUUUAUUUUCUUCUUCCUUUCUUCCUCCAUGCAUGCACUACCAUUGUCACUUUUUUCUCUUUCUAAGGAUUUGCAAUUGACUCUAUUGAUAUUUUGUUGGUUGAGCAUGGAUUUAUGACUUAUAACACACACAUGGAAGGUUGAAUUUCAUGAAAGAAAAUGAGGGUUAGAAAAAUAAUAAAUGGGAAACAUUGAGCUUAUUGUGGGUUUGAUUUGGUACAAAUUCUUUUGUAUAUAUCUACUUGGGUAUACAAUUGAAUAUUUAAUUUAGGAAAAUUCAAAAAAUUGUUUUCAAUGAAAUUAAAAAAAAAAAUUAAUAACAAUUGCCUGGAAAUUUAUUUAUUUAAUAAACAUUGUUUUGUCAAUAAAAUUGUCAUCAAAGUUAAUUUUUAAUAAAAUUAUCUAAAAAAGUGAAUUUAUAAAUGAAAUUCUAUUUCCUUAAUUUAAAUGGGAUAAAAAGUAAUUUUUGUAAAUUAAAGUCUUAAAUAAUUUUUUCAUAAUAAUAGAACGAGAAUCUUUUUAGCAAAUUGAACUUAUACAAAUUAUUUUCUUUUCGUAAAUAAAGUUUGUAAAGAAAUUAUUUUCUUUAUAAAUAAAAUCAAAAUGAAAUAUUUUUACAACUAAAAGAAUAUUUAAUUGAGCAAGUGAUGAACUAUUUGCUUGUUUAAGUAACCUUUUGAAAUGUUCCCUCAGCAUAAUGGUAGUACAAUAAGAGGGUUUAUUAUGUACUUCUUUCUAUAUGGACUUUGGGUAUAAUAAAAACAAUGCUUUCUCUCUCUCUCUCUCUCUCUCUCUCUCUCUCUCUCUCUCUCCCCCUAGUCCACAGGUUUACACCCUCAGCUUUACCCUGGACUAAGUCCUGAAACCCAAAGAUUAUGCAGAAUCAAACUCUUAAAGUCUACAGCAUGAGUUGAAGAAAAAAGGAUGAGUAUUUAAUGUAGUAGUUGAGGAAUGAUUCAAUGUUUGAAAUAUAAAAAAUGCAAUCCAUUGAACACUUAGCUGGACUAUCUGCUUAUUGUAUACAUAAAACAUAGACUAAUCCGAAGACUUCUAUGUUAUAACUUUAGAAUUUUCAUAUCCAAGGUUUUCACUUCUUUCUCAUCAGAAGACAAAGAUUGUAACUGUUGCAGAAAACCUAACAACCUAGUUUAUUUGUUAAGGUCCCUUUCUCUCAUAAGACAUAAAUAUAUUCACUAUCAAACACCAUAAUGAUAAUAAUAAUGAUCUUCUUUUUGCUGUAUAUACACUACUUUAGAGUUUGUUCAAUGUUUGGUUACCAAGAAAACAGAAGGACUGAUCUGCUGCAUUAAAAGGUUAAGUAAUCCUGAAUACUUUCACUUCAUUUUGCCAUAUGUAGUUCUUCCAUUAGCUAGCCAUUUGGAACUAAAUCUUGUGGAGAACUUUUCAUAUUGGAGAUGGAUAUGAAAUUGGAUCUGCCUCCACCUCAUUGAACUUCACUUUCAACAUAUGCAUUGAGAAUAUUUAAGUUAAGAUCAGUAUACUAACUAACCCUACAUAAAUUAACAUGUAUUGGUGAAAACACUUAUCCUUGUAAGUGAGAAAGCAAAAAAAAAAAAAGAAAAAAAAAAAAGACCUACCCAUUGAAGACCAUCUAUAAAUUGACAUGUUUCUCAUGCAAAAAUUUUCACCCCUCACCUAAACACAAAGAUUUGUGAUUGUUUGGAGACAGUACUCUAACAAUGGAGAAAGGUGUUAGUUUCCUAGUAACUGUGGCCCUCAUGGCAUUGGCUUCAUCUUUUGCCUCUGCCUCUGAUCCAAGCCCACUGCAGGACACUUGCGUUGCCAUUGGGGAACCCAAGAAUGCUUGUAUUUCUUUAGUAACCAAUGAACUUGUCACUAUUUUCACUGAUCUUUCCAAUUCAAUAUUGGGCACAUUAAUGCAGUAGCCAUUGCUGGUCUAAGCAGCCAAAAUCCAGGUGUAAUCACCAUAUCCAAUGCAGUGUUUGGAUCAAAUCCACCAAUCAAUCCUGAUUUCCUGGCAACGGCCUUCCAGUUGGACAAGAAGGUGGUUGAAUUCCUUCAAGCACGAUUCUAGUGGGGAAAUAGAGAAAAUGAAGAAGCUAUGAACCUUUGAUUUGCUUGCUUGAAUGACUAUUUGUGAUGUUCAAUUACCUCAUUACAAUAAGAGGGGUUUAUUACUUUAUUUUGUAGCUCUUUUGGUGUGGACUUUGGUCCUAAUAUUAAAAUAAAGCAGUUUGUCUGUUAUGCAUCUUCUUCUGUCUCCAUCUCAAUAUUUGUCUUAAAAAAUCUUAUCUUGUGAAAAAACAACUCUCAGUUGAUUGAUUAACCUGCAUGUGCAGAAUGUUUAUUAAGAAUGAAUACUUAACUAGUUGUAAAACAGUACUACUGCUACUUCCAGCAUACUGCUGGCAGAAUUGGUGAUGAAGGAAUGAACAUUGAGGCAACAACUGCUGAGAAUUCAAAAAUAAAAAAGAUGCCAUUUUGCUUCUCUAUAUUUUCCCAUUAUAACUCAUCAACCGAGAUCGAAGAAACUAAUUAAGAUGUCCAAGUAAACCAUUUGAAUGGUGGGAGAAGCAUAAGUGUCAUGAAAAUUGUGAAGAAAGAAUGGAAAUGAAAACCCAGAAAUCUUAUGACAUCUACUGUAGACAAAUUAAUGUCUUAAAUAAUCUUUUCAUAAUAAUAGAACGAGAAUCUUUUUAGCAAAUUGAACUUAUACAAAUCAUUUUCUUUUCAUAAAUAAAGUUUAUAAAGAAAUUAUUUCCUUUAUAAAUAAAAUCAAAUUGAAAUAUUUUUGUAAAUAAAGUUCUAAAAAUUCAUUCUUUUUCUAGUAAAAGUAAGUCAAAAUAAUUUUUAUUGUCAAAUUGGAAUUUUUUGAAUAAAUUCUAUCCAAAUAAAAUUCAAUCAAAUCAUUUAUUGGAAAUAAAUAAAUAAAUUAAAAUCUUGAAAAAGUAAUAUUUAAAAUAUCUUUUUGUAAUCAAUUUAAUAAAUCGGGGUGUAUAAUUCUAAUGUCAUUUAUUUUGUACAUUUUUGUAAUUUAAUUUUAUAAUUAUUUUCUUGUAUAUUAAUUUGUGUCUUUAAUCUUGAUAUUCAUGAUUGAUCAAUUAACUGUCAUAAUUCAUUUUGUUUGUUUAGUAAAGAUUGUUAGUAUACAUGCUUAGAGGGGUAUUACCACUUAUUAUUGUACCUUUCUGAUAGACAACUUGACCCUUGAAUAUAGACUUGAUUUUACAGACAUGUCUUUUCUAAAUGAGGAUUUAUACAAAAUUUUCUUUCUUAUUUUAUUUUCUCUUUUAAAAAAUAAAUUAAAAUAAGUGGCAAUCCUAAUUUUUUUAUAUAAAAAAAAAAAAUCAAAAUUUCACAAUAAAAAUGAGUCUCACUGUCGAGUGGGAACACACGCAAAAAAUACGGGUCAACAUGUAUCCAAUUGAUUGGGGUCAAUGUCAAGAUGUAUGAUAAAGAUGCAAAAUUUGAAUAUGAAUCCUACCAUUGAUUGAAUCUUGAACUACCUGAUACUGGUUGUAACAAGUGAGAUAAGUUGCUAAGGUUUGCAUUGAAAUCCUCAAUUGAAAGUUACUAGUCAUCCAAAUAUGUAUAUAAAUCAAAGUGCACACAAUUGAUUUUCUUUCUCUUCUAAAUCCAAGAAAUCAACCUCCUUAAGCAAAAGACCUUAGAAUUCUUAGAGUGUGUUUGAUAGUGAUUUUAGGAAGUGUUUUUAACUUUUUUAAUAAUUGAAAAAUAAGAAUUUUGAAGUGUUAAAAAUGUUAGAAACGCUUCCUAAAAUCACUAUCAAACGCACUUUUAAUGUAAUUUGCUCUAUGUACCACUUGAUGUGGAUGUUAAGAUUGAUAUCCUUGGUCAUUGCCUAUAAUCCUAUAUCUAUAAUAGCAAGAAGACAUACAUUGAAACAUGAAUACCCUUUCACUAUGUUUGGUUUAUGGAAAAUACUAAGAAAAGAAAAUGUUCUGAAAAAUGUUUUUCUUAUAUUUAGUUUUAUUAUGAAAAAUAAGAAAAAAAUAAAAUAUAAUUAUAAUUAAUUAAAAUUUUAUGUAUUUUAAAAUUAUUUAAUAUUUAUAUAAUGAAGGAAAAUAAAUGAAACAAGCUUGAAAAAGUAUAUAAAAAUAAUUUAUUAAUUAUAACUUGUAUGCGACUAUUUUGUACUUUAAUCCCGUUUUUCUUUUAUUCUCUUGUAGGUACCUUGAUUUUAUAUAUUUGUAUCUUUAUUCGAUGAUUUAGAUUUCAUAUAUUUGUAUCUUUAAUUGAGAUUGCAAGAUCCGUACGGAUUCAGAUUAGGGAUGACAACGGUAUGGGCUUGAGGCAAGUUACUCAUAUCCCAAUCCAUUAUAUUUAUUCGUAUAUGUUAUCAUCCCCACCAAAAAAAGAAAUUAAAUGGGAAUAGGAAAUUCUCAUGCCUACCCCAUGCUAUCCCAUUAUUUAUUUAUUUAUUUUUCAAUUUUUAUUUCUAAAAUUUUAAGAAAAUUAAUAUUUUAAAUAUGUUAAAAAAAUUGAAAACUGAAAAAAGAAAUCAAUUAAAGAACUUUUUAUUUAACAUUAUACAUAAUUAGGCUGAGGUAGGAUGAAACAAACUCAUACCCAAAAUCACCCUGAAUCAAUCUUGGGUUUUUAAAAAUUUCUCAAAUUCAAGAUGAGACAAAAUCAUAUCCAAAACUAUCUCGAAUCCAUCCUAGAUUUUAAAAAUUUUCUCUAAUUUAUCUAAACUUUAUAUCAUUAUCUCAAAACGAGUACAUUAAGGGUAUGACAAGUACUAAAAAAAAAUUGGUAUAUUGUCAUCCCUAAUCAAGAUCCUAAAAUUUUUCUUUAUGAUAAUGAAAACAACAAUCAUAGUCGUCAUCUCUCUAUCAGUGUACUUUUUAGGUUUGAUCGAAUACACCUUAUGUGUUGCCUUUGGGGCAACCUAGCUCUCUCAAUCAUUGUCUAAAGUUCGGGUGUUUGUUUGUUUUAAUUUUUUUCGACUUUUUUUAAUACUAAAAGUAACUUAAUGACUUUUUUUUAACUUUUUAGUACUUAAUAAAAAUAAAAUAUUAAAAAACCAAAAACUGUGAUGUUUAAUACUUUUAAACACUAUAUAAUUUUAAGUUUUAUUCAAAAUUAAGUAAAAAAGAAAAAAAAAACACUCCUUUGAUGGUCAUCUAAAACUUUUAGGUCAAAGCUUGAUUUGGAGCUCAUUUAAACCUAACCCAAACUUCAACUAAAAAGACCUAUGUCCAACACAAUUAUUAGAGGUGUCCAAUGGGUCAUGUCGGGCCAACACAACCCAUGUUUAUCAGGCCAAUGCGUUGGCUCGACCCAUGCAAGCCAAAUAGGUGGCUUGACAUGGCCCAUAAACCCAUGGGCUAAUCAUGUCGUGUUGUGCCAUGUCGGUGAGUCGCCCCAUGGGCCACACACUUUAAUUAUUAUUUUUUAAUUUAUUUUGUCUUAAGUUUUUUAUUAUUAAAUAAAAUUUCUUUUUGUUACUUUAAACACCUCUAAUAAUUAUACUUUUUAUUUUUUAUAUUUAUAUUUAUCAAGUUUAUAACUGUAAAAUUUAUAAAAAUGUUAGUUUUUUGUUUUUAAAAAUAAUAAAAAGUGAUAUUUAAAGGGUUAAGUGGGCCAACAUGAUGGCACGACGGGUUGUUUCCUUAGGCCCACCACGACCCGCUCCUUUGGGCCAUGCCGGCCUGACUCGAUCUUUUGGCGCACUAGGCCACAGGCCAAAAUGGGUGGCUCGACCCAUUGGACACCUCUAGUAGUUACAUGUCUAGCAUCCAAACGGUAGACCAGGUGAGUUUUGUCAAACCCAACCCAUUCAUCCCCUUUGCUUCAUGUUGGCCACCCGGUUCAGACCAACCAUUGGGUUGAUUUGGGGUCUUGGUUAUUUUUGUUUAAAUAAAUUGCAAAGAAAAAAAAAACUUGGUUUGGAUAAAUAAACUUAAGUUGUUUUUAAAAUAAGCUUUUAUUUGAUUUUUUCUAAAAAAAUUUAUAAAUUCAAUUUGUACAAUAUUAAUUAUAUUUAAUUGAAGUCUUAUUAAAGAUUUAAAAAAAAAUAGUUUUUAAAUUAAAGAUAAAUUAAAAAAAAUCAUAAAAUAUGAAAUUAAUAUUAUAAUAAAAUCAUAAAUUAUGAUUUUUAUUUAAAAUGAUACUAUUUUAAGAUAUGAUUGAUUUAUUUAUUUUGAUAAGAAUGAAUAAUACUAAUUUUAAAAUAAUAAAAGGGUGAUAUAGUUUAUUUGAAAUAAAUUUAAAAAUAAAUAAAAUUUAUUUUUUUAAUACGUAAAUAAGCGAAGUUUUUCAUUAUAUCUACACCUGAGAAUUUAAUCAAGGAUAUAGUAUUUUGAACUAGUUUUGAUUCAUUCCUAUAAUCUUCAUUCAGUCAUUAUGGUUUAGACAAUUGAUAAUUAAUCUGUUGGCAUAAUUGAUUCUGCAAAACAGUAUCCUGAAUUUAGUAUCGAGGGAGGCAGAAACACAGCGAGAGAGAGAGAGAGAGAGAGAGAGAGAGAGAGAGAGAGAGAGAGAUGAUGCUUAACAAUUAACAGACUGCAGACUGCUUUAUUGUAGUAAUAUGCCCAAAGUCCACACCAGAAGAGUUACAACCAGACCCUCUUAUUAUACCAUGUUUGUUACAAUGAGGGAAUUGAACAUCAUGAAUCGUCAUUCAAGCAAGGAAAUCAAAGGUUGACAGCUUAUUCUUUUUCUAUAUUUCCCCACUAGAAUCGUGCUUGAAGGUAUUCAACCACCCUCUUGUCCAACUGGAAGGCCCUUGCCAGGAAAUCAGGAUUGAUGGGUGGAUUUGAUCCAAACAUUGAACUGGCUAUGGUGAUUACACCUGGAUUUUGGCUGUUAAAAGCGGCAAUGGCUACUGCAUUAGUGUGCCCAAUGUUGACUUGGAAGUGAAUGAGACUGAAAGGGAACACAAAAACAUCCCCCUUGUUCAGGACUUUGCUAAUGAAGCGGUGUUCAGGGUUGGAUGUGAUAAAGCCAACAAAGAGUGUUCCCUCCAAGACAAUGAAGACCUCACUGGCACGAGGGUGAAAGUGAGGAGGGUUUUGACCAUUAGGUUCAUAAUCGAUACGAGCCACUGACACCCCAAGAGUGUUUUCUCCUGGUAAUUGAUCAACAUUUAUAAGAUUGACAAUUGAGCCCACAUAAUUUGAUGUGUUUCCUGGAAUAUUCAGCCCUUGAUACAAGAAAUCCUCGGCCACGGUCAGGUUUGGGUUCUUGCAGAACUUCCCAUUUACAAAUACUGCAUGAAGAAGGAAAAAAGAAAAGAUAUAUCAUUAGUAUCAAACCAUACUCACCAUAUCAAUAAAAAGAGAAGUACUGAAAAUAGCUAUAAGAUCAUUGGUUACUAUAGAAAUACCAGCAUUAUUGGGCUCAUCAACGGCAACACAGGUGUCUUCCAGUGGGCUUGGAUCAUAGGCAGAGGCAAGAAAGGAAGCCAAUGCCAUGAAGGCCACGGUUACCAGGAAACUAACGCCUCUCUUCAUUGUUAGAGUACUGCCUCCAACAAUCACAAUCUUUAUCUUUAGGCGGGGAUAAGAAAUUUAGCAUGGAAAAGAUGUUAAUUUAUAGACCAGAGUCGAUGAGUUAGUCUUUGCAUAAACUCACCAAGUCUUCAAUGGGAAGUUUUUUCUUCUUUCUUUUUUCACUUUCGAGGACAAGCGGUUGCACCAAUACAUGUUGAUUUACGUAGGAUUAGUCAGUAAACAGAUCUUAACCAGAAUAUAAAGCAAUGUACAAUCAGGUGGAGGCAGGUCCAAUUUAAUAUCAAUCUGCAUGAUCCAAACGUUUACAUUGUUUCAACAUUUUUGUAUUAUGGUUUUUAUGAACUGUGUUUUUUUGAGUUGUAAGGAAGAAAAACUUAGGUUUAAAGUUCUAGCAUAGAAGAAAAAACCUGUAGAUUAAUUGAUUUUUUAAUCUGAACCAAACACAUGAUCAACUCCAUAAAAACAAGUGGAAAACAAGAAAAAAUGAAUGAUUUUUAAUAUGUAUUUGUGUGAGAAUGAUAGGUAUAGAUUUUUUUUUGAGAUAUACUGCCACAUAAUCUUCAUCCCUUCUAAAAAACGAGAGAGAAAAAAAAAAGAAUGAUUUUUCUGUUUGUAUCUAAGUGAGAAUGAGAUAUAGAAUUUCACUCCAGACGCAUUAAUUUUAUCUCAUACUGCCAUGCUAGACCAAAUCAGCCCUUAACGACAACCACACUGUUUUGUGGGGGGGGGGUUACUUUUGUUCCAUUAUAUUCACAGAAUCUUCAAAUCCAUUCUUUGGAUUAAUCUGCAUGAGGAAAUCUGUUACUGUUAGUGACGGAAACCUGUUAUUGUUAGUACCGGAGUCAACUGUUUGACUGGGUGGGUUCCAAUCAGAUCCUAAGGAAUGGGUCCAAAGGUCAUCCAUUAGAGUUAAUGGAAUUCAUUGUUGUUCUUGUGCCUUGAUGUGUGAGCCCAACACGCACAGAUGCAACUAGGGAUGGCAACGGGGCGGGUUUUUUCGGGUACCCGCCCUGCCCCGCCCCUAAUGGGAUGGGGUUGAAAUUUAAUAAAUGGGUUUUUAACGGGUAUAAGAUUUUUUUUUUUAAACCCGGGGCGGGUUCGGGUAUUGCCCCAUCCCGCCCCGCCCCGCCCCGCCCCGCCCCGCCCCGCCCCGUUUACAUAUAAAAUCAAUUUUAAAAUUUAAUUUAAUUUAAUUUAAAUUUUAAAAUUAAUUUUAUUUUACUAUUUUUAAUAUAUAGAUAAUAAAAAAAAAUUAAUAAAAUAAAUUAUAAAAAAUAUAAUAAUUUUAUUAUUUAUAAAUAUAUUUAUUUUAAUGUAAUUAAAAAUUUUAAAAGCAAUUUUUUUUUUUUUUAAAAAGGAGGCUAAACAGGGCUGGGCGGGGCGGGUUUGGGAAUUUCCCAUACCUGCCCCGCCCCGCCCCGCCCUGCCCCGUUUAAUUUUUUAAACGGGACGGGGAUGGGAAUUAUUUUUAAUAAACGGGGCGGGGUUGGGAUGGGGGCGACCCGUCCCGAACCUGCCCCGUUGCCAUUCCUAGAUGCAACAGUAUGAGUCAUGUGCAGGUAGAUUUGAAUAGACACAUCUUGGCAUCGGGAUGGCUUGAGCAAGGUGUAGUCUCCUACAAUAGGAAGCAUGGUGAACUGAUGCAUCACAUGAGCAAGACUCCUAUUGCAUGAGACAUACUCCUAUCACAUGAGACUUCUAGUCAAAGUGGGAGAUUGAGACCUAAUAUUGCAGGAAGAGAAAGGGACUCUUGACAUGAGAAGACUCCUAAUCGGGAUAGAAAACUAAAUCUUCAUGCAUAAGGAGAUAGAGAGAUGUGGCAUGAGAGUUUUAGAUUCAGUAGGACUUGGAGUCCUACUCAAAUUUGUCAUCUGUUAAGCUUGAGUCGGACGCAAACUAGGACUCAAAAGUUAGUCUCCUAGUAGGAUUAGGAUGGCUUGGUGCAACCUUCAUAAAAGGAGGGCGUGACCCAAUAGGAUGCUCCAAAAAUGGUACCUUACGUGAUAGGAAGGCCCCUUCAAAAGUCAUAUUGCUUGUACCACCAAGACACCACCACUAAGUAUUUGUCCAUAUCUUAAUCCAUGUGUGCAUGGAGAUGAACAUAAAUAUAUAUAGAAAAGAUAAAUAUUAGAAGACAAGUCUCCACAAAGAGACAAAAAUAUAGAAGGCUUCGGUCAACCAAUCCCGCUAUGCGUGGCAAAUGUUUCAGGGGACUGCGUAGGAUUGAACAGCCUUUGCUAGAGGGAAGAUCAAUCUAUGGGCGUGAAUAAAGAGAGAACUGGAGAAGUAUUGGAACAGGCGGGUCACCUCAGUUGACCAGGAAACAUGGCAUUAGUCAACGCAAACCUUGGCUUUCGAUCUCUACAUCGGUGCUGAAUAUUGUUGAACGGAAACACGUGGCCAGCUACAUUGGUUCUAGACAACAAAGGCUGCAACAAUUAACCUGAAAUUGAAAAUUUUGAAAUUUUUUUGAAAACAUAACAUCUUAAGAUGACUGGUAACCUUCUCUUAUUGGUUGGCUCUAAAUCAAAACCACUAUACAUGCAUUGUUCAAUGUAUAUAUGAUGUAGCAUUUUUGUGUUUUGUCUUUUACAAGUUGUAUAUAUUGGAAAAUUCUGACACCAUACAAAAACAUAGAAAAGCCACAAAUACCGCAACUUGCAUAUUUUCAUUUUAUGGCUGAAACUUUUCAAUGAAUCAUUAUCUUUAUUUCAAACUUUAAAAUUUUGAAAACAUAACAUCUUAAGAUGACUCGUAACCUUCUCUUAUUGGUUGGCUCUAAAUCAAAACCACUAUACAUGCAUUGUUCAAUGUAUAUAUGAUGUAGUAUUUUUGUGUUUUGUCUUUUACAAGUUUUAUAAAUUGGAAAAUUCUGACACCAUACAAAAACAUAGAAAAGCCACAAAUACCGCAACUUGCAUAUUUUUAUUUUAUUUUAAUUAUUUAUAGUUGAUUAGGUUUAUGGUAUGCCAUGUUGGAUGCUUUCAGAUUUUACAGAUCUAAGUUACUUUUAUUUUGAGAACGAAUAUUCCAUAAUUCAACCUUUUCCUUUUCUUGUUGGUAAUCAUGAUACAUAAAAUCUAGGAAUGCUAAACACAUCUUUUUUAAAAGUACUAUAUUGUAUUACAAUAGGAAAUGGCUUUUAUCAAAAGAGAAAUAUCCUUAAAUUGAUUAGGCCUAGCUCAUACUUUCAUCAACCAUAUGAUGACAUGAAAAAAAUCAAAGAAGAAAUAUGGGAAAUGGUACGAAAAGAGAUGGGUAGUAAUAACAUGAGACAACAACUUGUUUUACAACUAGUUGUAGCAGAAAAACCAAUGUUUAAAAUGAUAGAAGAGCCCCAACCACCAGAACCACCACUGAAACACAAGGUAUGCAUUUACUUACUAAUAAUACAAGAUUAAUAUAAGUGACAUAAAGCCUAUGUAAAUGAUAUUAUUUGUUGUAUUGAAGGUAAUUAAAUGUAAAUUAGCAGUGGAAAGAAAAGAAAAUGUUGUUCCAACUGGUACACUAAUAGAAGAAAAAGGAUCGAAUAGGUUGGUUGUAAUAAAUGCUGCACACAAGCCAGAUGCUAGACUCCCAUUUCCAAAUCCAUAUGAGAUUAUCAAUGUUGGGGAUGCUAUUGGCUUUGAGCUUGACUGGCCAACAAGCCUUGUCAUACUUGAAACUGAACAUCCUUAGGUAUGUCAUUUUAUGCCUAUAGUAAAUUUGAUUGUAACUUGGUAUUUUAUUGUUUAGGAGUAUAUAUAUCUAACAUUCCUUCCUUUUUCAUAGGUGUUGGAUAAAGGAAAGAAGAAGAUAGUGAAGACACCAAUUUUUUGAAAAUCUAAGCCUCAAAAUCAUUCGGUCAUUAAAAAUUUUCAAAAAUUUGUGGAUGGUUGUCUUGGUAAUGACAAGACAUACCCAAUACAGCUCCCCAUUUCACUUUUUGGUGUCGAAUUUCAAACAUAUAUAUCUAGAGAGGAUUGUGAAUACAUUAUUUCAUCUUUAGAGGUGUCAUCAAACUGCAUCUCCUUCUAUUUAUGGUGUGCACCUUUUAUUUUCAUUUGUUUUUAUUUUUUUAAAUAUGAGUUGCCCAUGUUGAACGAAAUUGGAUAUGACUAAUGAUAAUUUUCUUUUGGUGUUUUGAUACAAUAAUAGGCACAUGCAUGAUCAACUACAUAUUGCCAAAAAGGAAUCACAAUUUAUAUUUGUUAAUCCUUUUACAAUAUCACGAGCAAGCCUUAGUACUCAUCAAACAGAGAAAAGAGCACAAUUGUUGUCAAAACGCUUAAUGGAGUGCCAAGAUGCUAAAUAUGUUUUCAUACCUUACAACCCUGAGUAAGUGACAAAUAUUAUACUUUAAUUUGAGGUUUUAUGAUUGAUUUAUAUUUCUAAUUAGACGCUACUUUUGUUUUUAAUGUUUUAGCUUUCAUUGGGUCUUGGUGGUGAUUGAGCCAAGGAAAAUGAUAGUCCACUAUCUUGACCCUAUGCAUCACAAACUAUUUGAGGACUUAAAGAAUAUCGUAAACAUGUAAGUUCUUCCUAUUAUUUUUCAUAGUAUUAUUUUUUUUUUUUUAUAAAAAAUACAUUCAUCUCAAACACAUUGAACUUAUUUACAUAGGGCACUUCGAAUAUCUACAAAGAAAACAUCUAAAAGGGAGCCAUCUUGGCAACUAGUGCAGGUGACAUCCAAAAAAUUUUCUUUACACAUUAGCUUAUGCAUUUGCACCAUUUAUAUAUAUGAGUACUAAUGUUAUUUUAUAAUUGAUCGAUUAGUGUCCAAGACAAGAAGGAGGGUUCGAAUGUGGCUACUUUGUUAUGAGAUUCAUAAAAGAGAUAAUUUUUUAUCCUACAAUUAUUGCUUCAAAGGUAUUACAAAUUUAAUGAAUUGUACAUAGUUUUAGGCUUCCAAAUGUUAUGCAUUUUAAUGUUAUUUUCUUAUUUGAUUUCAGUUUGGUGAUAAAAAAACAUAUUCUCAAGUAGAAUUCGAUGAAAUUAGAGAAAAAUGGGCUACUUUUGUGCUACAACUAAUCAUGAAUCAUGUUGAUGCAUCAUGAUCACCAUGCAUGGUGAGUCCUUUAGCUACUACAUGAAUUUUUCCAUAGGUUCUUUGAAUAAUGUUUCUAUUUGAAAAAAAAAAAGAAAAAAAAAUAGUUCUUAGAUUUUUUUCAUUUAUGAUAACAUCGAUCCAUGUUUAUUUUCUUCAAUAAAAAUCUAUAAAACUCAUUAAACUAUGAAAUGCAAGUAUACACUUUUGGGAUGGUGGAAUGGAGAAUAAAAAGAAAGAAGAAGGCAACAAGAUUUUGGGUUUUUAAAUGCAACUCUUAUGUCAUACGUUGUAGGACAUAAAUGUUAAUUUAAUUAGUACUGAGAAAUUUAGAUUUUUAGAUGGGACUUUUAUGUCAUUUUAUAGUUAGCCGGUUUUAUGCUUAUGAAUUGGAGGUAUACAUGAAUCUUGGGAUCUUUAACAUUUCUAAAUCAUGUUUUGGUAUGUAUUCACUCUUCUUUUUUUAGUUUUGAUGGGUUUGAUAUGUUGGAUGUACUAUCUUUUUGUGAACAUUUGAUAUACAAAUAUUAUUAGAUGAUCAAUGUAUUAUGAGUUAUUCUAGAAACAUUACAGAAAAAUGAGUUAAAUAUAAUAUUAUUGUUAUAUUUAUGGACAAAAAAUAAAUAGGUUAAUCUUACUUAUUAAUUCAUAAGCAUUACAAAAAUUUAUAACUAAAAGCAAUCAUAUCUUCCACAAUAAUUUACAAUGAUGUGACACCAUUACUCAAAGGUGAUGCAUUUAAUAUGACAUUAUAAUUCAAAGAUGAUGCAUUUAAUGCGAUACCCUCUCAUCACUAGAAAUAUAUGGUGUCACUUCCGAAUGGGUCACCAUUUAUCUACUUUGGUGUCACUUCCAAAUACGUUACCAAUUGGUACCCUCUAUGGUAUCAGUGGAGAAGGUGACGCUAUGUUGUAGUGACACCCUAUGUUUAUGGUAACUCGUUAUAAAUGUCACCAUAUAUCUUUUUCCCUAUAGUGUAUAGCUCCAGUGAGGCUGUUCUCAGAGAAACAAAGGUAUGUCAAGUUUGUCAUUUGGCCUAGUACAGCAGGAAUGCUUCCAGUCAGAUUGUUAUCGUCCAAGUCUAUUGUCUCCAGGCUCCAAUAGCCUUGUAUGGAGGCUGGAAUAUUGCCUCCAAGCUUAUUACAACUCAUGUUUAUGAAUGUUAACUCAGAAAGCUCUCCAAUGGUAGCUGGGAUCCCUCCAUACAAGCUGUUGCCUUGCAAAGAGAGGGUGGUGAGAUGGGAUAGAUUGGAUAUGUAUGGUGAGAUAACUCCCUGUAAGCGCAUGUUUAUGAGCUUGAUUGACUCUAUUGAUAUUUUGUUGGUUGAGCAUGGAUUUAUGACUUAUAACGCACACGUGGAGGGUUGAAUUUCAUGAAAGAAAAUGAGGGUCAGAAAAA
This 15190-nucleotide long non-coding RNA is filed under the name Vitis vinifera (wine grape). RNAcentral describes it as "long non-coding RNA (VVIN_LNC004461)". The record is from RNAcentral. Lineage: Eukaryota; Viridiplantae; Streptophyta; Magnoliopsida; Vitales; Vitaceae.